GAGAGAGAGGGAAGGAGAGAAAGGGAGGGAGAGAAAGGGAGAGAGAGAAAGAAGAAGAAAGAAAAAUAGUCUUCUCGGUUCCCGCCGCGUCUGGCAGGAUUCGAAAUUCUUACGUGGUUCGCGUCCACGUUGAACGAAGAAAAGGUCGAGGGUGGUUUCGAAUUCGCCGCGAUUAGGGUGCGACGUGGACGCGAGACCUGUCUUUCAAAGUUCCCUCCUCGAACGCCGGAAGGUCGCCGGUCGAUCGUCUCGCGGCCCGAACAACCCCUGCUCCAGCAAACCCCCCGCGACAUUUGUCCCUCCUGUGCCACCCACCCCCAAAACCCCCUAAAAACCUCAGAAAGAAAAAUUUAAACACGCCAAUUUAAUAAUACCCCCCAGCCUCCUAAAAAGAAGAAGAAGAAAAAAAAACGAAUUCCAAUCCUUAUCCGCUCGAGAAUGAAGAGCACAAUGGAAAGAAGAAAAAGGAAAACCGAAGUUAAGAGUGGGAAUCAUCCGUGAGAAAGAGAAGGGGAGAGAGAGAGGAGAGAGAGAGAGAGAGAGAGAGAGAGUACGUUUCCUUUCUCGCGUCAGAGAAGAAAAACACUUCCUGCAUGUGCGAAGCAAGAAAGAAAAUCUUAAGGGAUGAAAGCGACGACGCGAGUGGACGGGUCAUCCGAAAUUAUUCUAAGGACUCUCGUCUUCGGGCGGGAACGCAGGUGGAUUAACGAGGACGACAGCGGUUAACGAUGACGAUAGCGGUGCUCGAGGAGAAGAAGAGAGAGAAAGAGAGAGAGAGAGAGAGAGUGAGAAGAAUGAGGAAAAGAGGAGAAAAAAAAAAUGUGAACGAGGUGGAAUGUAGAGAGAUUGAUAGCUAACGAAAGAACGAUGUAGACGAAGGCGCAUCGCUGUCGUGUUUUUGUAAAAAAUUUUGAACACAAAGAAUGUCGAAUGCGAGAGUGAGAGCGAGAAAGAGAGAGAAAAAGAGAGAGAGAGAAUUCGAGCAAUUGACAAAAGAGCGAAAUUGAGGUGUGCGUGAGAACUAGAGAAGAAAAAGCGAGGACGAGAGUGAUGAGAGAAUGCGAAAAUGAAAACGGUAGAAAGAGAGAAAGAAAAAAACGGUGGUAAAGUAAUAUUUAAAUAUUCGUAUCAAAAAGAAAAAAAAAAAAUGUGUAGGGCCUCGAAAACACUAGCGACCGAAUGGGACAAGGGAGACAAGAAAAGUUGUGAAAUGAAAGAAGAAGGGGGAAAAAAAAAAAUGAAACUAACUUAGCAAAAGGCGAGAAAUAGAGUGGGGCCGAACUACUAAAAAAUAUUUAUAAUAUAUGGCUACAAGUACAAAUUACUUCGACUACUGAGCGUAGGUGUAUUGAUGUGUGAACAAAAUUUGGUUGGCCGAUGACCGUUUUUGAAACCAUCAUACUGCGUAUCAAAGUAUGUAAAAUUUAUUGAAUAAACGCUAGCGUAUUAUGAUAUAAUGUAAUCUAAUAAUGUAAUAUUGUAAUGACGAGUCUAAAUGAUGAUGUUAACUUGAAGUUUAGGGAGCGCGCGUGAGAGAUUGUGCACGUGGAUGAUUUAAAGAGAAUAAAAAAAAAAAAAAAAAAAGAAGAAACAAAGAGAAUAAGAGAGGACAAAAAAGAGAUUAUUGUGCAUACGAAAACAUAAAGAAAAAAAAAGAAGAGAGAGAAAAUGAUGAAAAAAAGAAUGACAAAUUGCAUCUUUAUAACGAUUAUCAUUACGAUUACUAUUAUUAUUAUUGCGAUUUACGAUUGUCAGUCACCCGUCACUUGUCAUUAUUGCGAGGUAAAAAGAAAAAAAAAAAAGAAAAAGCGAAAAGGAAACAAAAAUGUAAACCGUUCCCCGAUCAAAACGGGAAACGGGUCUAUUCGUCCUUCCCUUAGUAACGUUCGUUUCUUAUCAUUGAUCUAUCCGUGAAGAAAGAUUGAAAAAAGAGAAAGAAAUAAUAAGAAAAUCAAGAGGCAAACGA
Apis florea (little honeybee) is the source of this 1966-nucleotide long non-coding RNA. The record is from RefSeq and is a predicted model, not a curated record. Lineage: Eukaryota; Metazoa; Arthropoda; Insecta; Hymenoptera; Apidae.